ACGAACGCUGGCGGCGUGCUUAACACAUGCAAGUCGAACGGAAAGGCCCUGCUUGCAGGGUGCUCGAGUGGCGAACGGGUGAGUAACACGUGGGUGAUCUGCCCCUUACUUUGGGAUAAGCCUGGGAAACUGGGUCUAAUACUGGAUAGGACCAUGCUGUAGGUGGUGUGGUGGAAAGAUUUUUUCGGUAAGGGAUGAGCUCGCGGCCUAUCAGCUUGUUGGUGGGGUAAUGGCCUACCAAGGCGUCGACGGGUAGCCGGCCUGAGAGGGUGGACGGCCACAUUGGGACUGAGAUACGGCCCAGACUCCUACGGGAGGCAGCAGUGGGGAAUAUUGCACAAUGGGCGCAAGCCUGAUGCAGCGACGCCGCGUGGGGGAUGACGGCCUUCGGGUUGUAAACUCCUUUCAGCCAUGACGAAGCCUCUUUUGGGGUGACGGUAGUGGUAGAAGAAGCACCGGCUAACUACGUG
RNAcentral lists this ribosomal RNA (470 nucleotides) under uncultured bacterium. RNAcentral's name for it is "partial 16S ribosomal RNA". It matches the Rfam family "Bacterial small subunit ribosomal RNA", at positions 29 to 507 of the family's 1533-position model. The record is from RNAcentral.